UGCAUUCACUACCUUAAGUCGCUCUGGAUAAGAGCGUCUGCUAAAUGACUAAAA
Non-coding RNA from Salmo salar (Atlantic salmon), 54 nucleotides. The record is from Rfam. Lineage: Eukaryota; Metazoa; Chordata; Actinopteri; Salmoniformes; Salmonidae.